This 213-nucleotide long non-coding RNA is filed under the name Elaeis guineensis (African oil palm). Its description in RNAcentral is "long non-coding RNA (EGUI_LNC042808)". The record is from RNAcentral. Lineage: Eukaryota; Viridiplantae; Streptophyta; Magnoliopsida; Arecales; Arecaceae.
GCUGUUUGUUAUCAAAAGAAACUUCUUCCUGUCAGGGUCCUGUAGUUGGGUGAUCCAAGAGUCCUCCCCAGACAAAGAUAAAGAGAGGAGGAUAAACACUAAGUCUUACUGAAAUAAAUACAAAACAUAAUAAGAUAAACAGAAAUACCAAAUAAUAAAUACAAACUGAUGGAGAAUAAACACAAACUGCCACAAGUUGCUCUCUGUCUCUUA